Long non-coding RNA from Oreochromis niloticus (Nile tilapia), 2628 nucleotides. The record is from Ensembl. NCBI's taxonomy places the organism in Eukaryota, Metazoa, Chordata, Actinopteri, Cichliformes, Cichlidae.
AACGAAGUACGACAAGGUUCAGCUCCUCACGCUGCCACGGCGACGCUUCCCGCCGCCUUCUCGGACCUGUUACCUCACUUCUUGGUAGAGCCGGAGGACGAGUACAUCGUAAAGAACAAGCCGGUGACUCUGACCUGCCGCUCCACCCCGGCCACGCAGAUCUACUUCAAAUGCAACGGCGAGUGGGUUCACCAAGAUGACCACUUGAUUGAACGGACUGUUGACCCAGCAACAGCGCUGCCAGUCAUGCAGGUGACAAUCGAAAUAACCAGGCAGCAGGUGGAGAAGAUCUUCGGACUUGAUGAGUACUGGUGUCAGUGUGUCGCCUGGAGCACCACCGGAACCCAGAAGAGCCAGAAAGCAUACAUCAGGAUUGCUUACCUGAGAAAGAACUUUGAGGAGGAGCCGCAGGGUAAAGAGGUGGCAUUGGACCAGGAGGUGUUGCUGCGCUGCCAUCCCCCCGAGGGAGUGCCACAAGCCGAGGUGGAGUGGCAGAGAAACGAGGAUGUGAUCGACCCAGCGAGUGACCCCAAUUUUGUCAUCACGCCCGACCAUAAUCUCGUCAUCAAAAAAGCCCGGCUGGCCGACACCGGCAACUACACGUGCGUGGCCAAAAACAUCGUCGCUCGCCGCAAAAGCACCUCUGCCGCGAUCCUUGUCUAUGUCAACGGUGGCUGGUCCACGUGGACCACCUGGUCGUCCUGCAGUGCCGUGUGUGGGCGUGGCUGGCAGAAGAGGAGUCGGAGCUGCACCAACCCCACGCCACUGAAUGGAGGCACAUCCUGUGAGGGGCAGAACGUCCAGAAAAGUGCCUGUGUGGCCACCUGUCCAGUGGACGGAGGCUGGAGCGAGUGGAGCAAGUGGUCAGCAUGUGGCGCAGACUGUUCGAUGUGGAGGAGCAGAGAGUGCACCCAGCCCUCACCUGGCACAGGGGGCAAAGACUGCCAGGGGCUUGAUCUCCAGUCUCUCAACUGUACCAGCGAGCAGUGUCCACAGACCGUGAGCGGAGCCGAGGACGUGGCGCUCUAUGUGGGCAUGGUGGCCGUGGCCCUGUGUCUGACCCUGCUGCUCAUUGUGGUCGUCCUGGUCUACAGGCGCAAGAAGGAAGGCCUGGAUGCCGACGUGGCCGACUCCUCCAUCCUCACCACUGGCUUCCAGCCCAUGGGCAUCAAGCCCAGCAAGCCAGAGAACUCCCAUUUACUCACCAUCCAGCCUGAUCUAACCACCACCACCACCAGUUAUCAAGGCACCCUGCGCUCUCGCCACGAUGCCACCGGGAAGUUUUCGAUGACCAACGGGCCUCUGCUGGACCCGCUUCCCAACGGCUCACACACCUUGCACAACGGCAAGCUCAACUCUGAUGCUGCUGCCGAGUUUGUGAGCAGGCUCUCCACCCAGAGCUACUUUAAAACGCUGCCCCGCGACGUGGCCAACACCUCCUACGGGACCUUCAACUUCCUAGGCGGCAGGCUGACUAUCCCCAACACAGGAAUCAGUCUGCUCAUUCCUCCCGAGGCCAUCCCCAGAGGAAAGAUCUAUGAGAUUUAUCUCACUGUUCAGAGGAAGGAAGAUUUAAGGUUACCCCUGGCUGGCUGCCAGACCCUCCUCAGCCCCAUUGUGAGUUGUGGCCCUCCGGGGGUGGUCCUGAGCCGGCCAGUUAUCCUCAGCAUGGACCACUGCUUUGAUGCAUGCCUGGAUAACUGGGCCGUGCGCCUUAAGAAGCAGAACUAUGAGGGCGCUUGGGAGGACGUCCUGUUGAUGGGAGAGGAGCUGGUGUCAGACCCUUAUUACUGCCAGCUCGAGGCCGAGACGUGCCGGCUCUUCUCGGAGCAGCUGGGUACAUUCGCCCUGGUGGGCGAGUCCCUGCACAUGGGCGCCGCCAAGCGCCUGAGGCUGGUGCUCUUCUCGGACGCUUACUGCUCCACGCUGGAGUACAACAUCAGGGUAUACUGCAAUUCACAUGAUGCACUAAGCAUCUCUUCUUCUCUUAUCUCUUUUCACACUCUGUCUCGGGGUCGGCUGAUUGACGAGCCUCACGUCCUGCUUUUCAAAGACAGCUACCACAACCUGCGCCUGUCCAUCCAUGACAUGCCCCAGGCGCACUGGAGGAGCAAGCUGCUAGCCGGCUACCAGGAGAUCCCAUUCUACCACAUCUGGAACGGUUCCCAGCGGUACCUGCACUGCACGUUCACUCUGGAGCGGCUCAGCCUCAGCACCUGCGAGCUCACCUGCCAGCUGUGUGUGUGGCAGGUGGAGGGGGAGGGACAGAGCUUUAGCCUGGACUUUAACAUUGCCAAGGUAACGUUCUUUCUGUUAAUGGACAGUAACGCCACAGCUCUGGCGGGACCCAGCGCCUUUCAGAUCCCGUACCUCAUCAGGCAGAAGAUCUGCAGCAGCCUGGAUGCCCCCUGUCCCAACGGAGCCGACUGGAGAAUGCUAGCACAAAGACUUAAACUCGAGAGACACAUGAGUUUCCUUGCAUCCAAAGCGAGCCCAACCUCUGUGAUCCUGGACCUAUGGGAGGCGCAACAUUUCCACAGCGGCAACAUCAACCAGCUGGCCACGGUCAUGGCCGACAUCGGCAAACAGGAAGCCAUGAUAUUCCUGGUCUCCGAUGGCGAGUGCUAA